Long non-coding RNA from Drosophila hydei, 391 nucleotides. RefSeq lists it as uncharacterized. Lineage: Eukaryota; Metazoa; Arthropoda; Insecta; Diptera; Drosophilidae. The transcript has 3 exons. The record is from RefSeq and is a predicted model, not a curated record.
CAAGGGCGGCGCGCCAGGGAGGGGGCAACGGCGGCAGCUUAUAGAGGGGGCACACGUCGCAGGAGUGCAUAUCCUGCGGAUAUUUACAAAAAAAACUUUAAAACGAAUGUGUCUAACAUCUUUACCAGGAUUUGGGUCUGCUUUCGCUGCUGCUGCUUGAAUUCAUGAAUCAUUAUGCCCUGUCUUAAGUUCCUUUUUGCUGAAAAAUGUUUAACUAUCUAUUGGACGAGUUUCUCUUAUCUUUUGUAAAGUCAUUUGUUGAAGCCAAGCAACAAUUAUAAAACGGGAUAUAACGAAAAUUAAAACUAAUAUAUAUUUAAAGGCUGCCUUUUAAGCAUUUUACUAAUUAUUCCAGUCUUAAUUUAUUUCGGUCUUGAUUUCUUGUAUUUAA